RNAcentral lists this long non-coding RNA (2953 nucleotides) under Nicotiana benthamiana. Its description in RNAcentral is "long non-coding RNA (NBEN_LNC040496)". Lineage: Eukaryota; Viridiplantae; Streptophyta; Magnoliopsida; Solanales; Solanaceae. The record is from RNAcentral.
AUGGUCAAUGUUUAUCCCCGUCAAUUAAAUCCAAUUUGCUAACCAUGUUCUUUUUCCUAACCCAACACAUACGCUUCUUCUCCUCCCUUUCUUCUUCUUCACAAAAUUCCAUCCUUGCUCAGCCAUGACAGAACUUGCCAUUACCAUUUUUGAACAAGAAGCUCUGCACCUCAUUUAAUUUUCUUCAACAUCAACGUUCAAAUUUCAAACGUUCAAUAGCUUUUCAGUCAAUUUCAAAAUCCUGCCUAAAUCAAGAACCCUAGAAAUCGGCCUAUAAAUACUCGUUUCUGGAAGCAAUUUUGGACCAUCUUUACCCGUUGUUACUAACCUGAAUAUUCACUUGCUCUUCUCUCAUUUUUACCUCUUUAAAAAAAAUGCACUACAAACUUAACUUCUUGGCCUUUGUUAGUUUCUCAACAGAAACAGAGGCAUUUUGGUGUUCAUUUCGGUGGUUAAUGACAGUUUGAGGUAGCACUUUUGUGGUCGAAGUUCGGUAGAUCCAAAGCUAGCGCCUCAGUUCACUGCCCUGAAAUAGGUCGGUGUCUUUCUCCUUCUCUUUUCUGUUUUUUAUUAAAGUAUGUUGGCAAUUUAUCAUGUGUGUUUGAAUUAGUGUUGAUUUUGGUUUGUCUCUCACAUUUUUUUUGCAUAUCACAAGAAUAGGCAUUGAACUACACCUCUCUGUCGAUCCGAAAUGAUGUAUAAAUAAACAUGAAUCUCUGACAUAUUUAGUUGUUGGCUCACUUUUCUUUGAAGAAAUACCAUGUUUCUGCAUCUUUAGUAAAAGUUGAGGAAAAUAUGCUUAUUCUCAUAUUUCUUGUUUUGUAAGAUUAGACCAUUCUAGUUUUGACGAUUGAUGGAAAAUAUAAUGGUAGUUUCAAACUCGCGGUUAAAAUAAGAAAUUUUAUUUAGUCAAGCUUUUCACGGCAAUACCAUAAAUUAUGGUAACAAGUAAGAAUGGAUAGUUUAAUCUAAUUAUCUUAGCAAUGUGCAUCUUAAGUUUAAUCAGUAGUUGAGUCAUUAAGUAUGCAUAAAAGAGUAAAUCUAUUCUGUUGAAAAAUUUGCUCUCUUUGUUUUCCUAUUGUGCAUGAUAGAAAAACAUCUUUGUAGGAUUUAUUGAUUGUACAGUUCUAUAUCUAUUUACCUAUAUAUCACUUUUUCUAAAAUUUAAUUGUCAAGUUAAGAUUGUGGUGGGUUCAUCAUUACGAAUUUGAGUUUAAAAUAGUGGAAGCCAUGAAUAUAGGAUAUUCUUGUCUGACCUCGUACUUUCUUUUACGCCUUAAACGUCACGUUUGUAGGAUGUUUUCAAUAUUUGUUUUUAACAAAAAUAAAAGAAUAGCUGGGAAAACUUUUCACUUUGUAAAAUAGUGAAUCAAGGUUACAAAGACAAAUAGACAACCCAUCUAUGAAUGUGCUGAUUAGACUAACUAUUGUUUGUUUAUCCAAGUAACAAGAAAGUAUUUUCUGUUAUUAUGCUGGUACAUUCAUUUUUAAGGAAUAAAGACCAUAUAUUUAAACCAUAUUGAUCUUUGUCUGAAGACUACAAAUGAACCUACACGUGAUUCCUGUCUAAAUUAAAUCAAAUACUAUGAUUUGUUACUUUUUUUUUUCUUAUGCUUAAAUGCCCAUAUCUUGAGUAUGAGUUUAGAAGAAACAAUUAGCUAACAAUAUCCUAUAAAUGAGUGAGUUACACUCGUUAUUUAGCACGACCAUACCCUAAGCUCAUUUAGAAAUUUAGAGUCUCACUCAAAUCUAUGGCAUAGAAUUCCAGCCCUAAGAGACAUUUUAUGUGUUAAUAGCUGGGCUAUACUAUCCUUGAUGCCUUCUCUGUCACAAUGAAGUAGAGAUGCUUAUUUGCAUUAUGAUAAUGACAUAUAAAUAAGAUUUAUUAGCUUACUUAAUAAAGCAUGCCUUAGCCCUUAGGCUACCCCGCUUAACUUGUAAUUGCUCUAUCUUAAAUUUUAAAUGAGAAUAAUAGAAAACAUCUGCUUGAAUACUUCAUCAGAGGAUGUUCUCGAAUCAAUUUGAUGAAUCUGAUAGUAUAACAUUCUAACAUGAUAAAUGUGUCUGCUAUGCUGUAUGCUUAUAAGACAAGAGGGGUUGCUCUGAUGGUAAGCAACUCCCACUUUUAACCGAGAAGUUGUGAGUUCGAGUCUCCCCAAGAGCAAGGUGGGAAGUUCUUGGAGGGAAGGAUGUCGGGGGUCUAUUUGGAAACAGCCUCUCUACCCUCUCUACCCAAAGGUAGGGGUAAGGUAUGUGUGCACACUACGCUCUCCAGACUCUAUUAAGUGGGAUUAUAUUGGGUUAUUGUUGUUAUGUUGUAAGCUUAUAAGUUCAUAGUACGAUUAAUAUUGUCUUUAUCCUAUGUUUGCUCGGAUACUAAGUUCAUUCUAAUUUUCUUUUUCCCUCUUUGCAUGUAUACUUUGGAGUAAAUUGGGUCUUAAUGCAAGACCCUUCCAAUCACGGAGCUAAUGCAUAUUUUCCUGGAGUUUAUUUAAUCUGUCGCACUGUACGAAAACAGUGAAGAACGAAAAAUUACACAUCAUAUUUGAUAACAAAAUUUUAUUAAUAUAAAAAAACAUAGGAAACCCAACUCAUUUAGGUGCCCUUAUUAGGCAAAUAUUCAUCUAAAUUGGAUGAUACAGGUGAUGACAUUGACCAAUUGAAAAUUAGAUUCUGUUGCCAGUCGAAGAAGAGAUAUAAACCAUCUUCCAUUAAAUUCCAACUGCACCUUUUCUUAUGAAUAUCACACCUAGGUGCAUCUCUAUGAAAUUUGAUUGAAGAAGAAGGCAUAUUGUCCUUGGCCUCGUUGGUGGGUGACUUUGUUAGAGAAAUUAUUGGGUUUUGAGUUCUUUAAAUAGACAAAAAUAUAAAGAAAAAGAAAAGUUAAUUUGUUAACUUCUUAAUUGAAAUUAAACACAAUCAAGAGUUAAAUGGUCGAAAAUGAAAGUCUAAC